CCUAGUGGGCAUCAAGAUGGGACCACUGGGCACUAGGCCUGUGGCUGCCUUAAGCCAAGGUACCCAUCACGUCCAGGGGCCCUGACCAGAACAGUACGGUCUGUGUCCUCAGAUCCUCUGAGACUGACCUGACAUCUCCUUUUGGUAGCCUCUGCUGACUGCCCCUCAGCUGCAGAAAGGAGGAUUGGGUGAGCAGGCUGAGACCUGGGCUCCAGCUACACAUCCAGUGCAAGGACAGGACAGCCCCAGCCUUUCAGAACCUGCUGCCGCAAGGAACUGGUCCCUGCCAAGGGCAGGGUGUGGAGGGAAGUACAGCCACAGUGCCCUGGGGGUUAAACAUGCAGGACUAAGCUUUGAUCAAGACAAACGAGCCAUCAUGUGAAACGCUGGAGCAAGACAGAUGAUGGCACUGGGUGAACAAGAUCAAUAGAAG
This 433-nucleotide long non-coding RNA is filed under the name Cavia porcellus (domestic guinea pig). RNAcentral's name for it is "lncRNA (ENSCPOG00000039593.1)". The record is from RNAcentral. Lineage: Eukaryota; Metazoa; Chordata; Mammalia; Rodentia; Caviidae.